UGUAAAAUAAGCUAAAUAGGAAGCUGUUGGGUUCAUACCCCAAAAAUGAAUUAAAAUUCUUUUACAA
This 67-nucleotide transfer RNA is filed under the name Cryptonatica andoi. RNAcentral describes it as "tRNA-Met". It matches the Rfam family "tRNA". Rfam says of the family: Transfer RNA (tRNA) molecules are approximately 80 nucleotides in length. The record is from RNAcentral. Lineage: Eukaryota; Metazoa; Mollusca; Gastropoda; Littorinimorpha; Naticidae.